RNAcentral lists this ribosomal RNA (871 nucleotides) under Enterococcus faecium. RNAcentral describes it as "bacterial SSU rRNA". It matches the Rfam family "Bacterial small subunit ribosomal RNA", at positions 54 to 896 of the family's 1533-position model. The record is from RNAcentral. Lineage: Bacteria; Bacillati; Bacillota; Bacilli; Lactobacillales; Enterococcaceae.
CAUGCAGUCGUACGCUUCUUUUUCCACCGGAGCUUGCUCCACCGGAAAAAGAGGAGUGGCGAACGGGUGAGUAACACGUGGGUAACCUGCCCAUCAGAAGGGGAUAACACUUGGAAACAGGUGCUAAUACCGUAUAACAAUCGAAACCGCAUGGUUUUGAUUUGAAAGGCGCUUUCGGGUGUCGCUGAUGGAUGGACCCGCGGUGCAUUAGCUAGUUGGUGAGGUAACGGCUCACCAAGGCCACGAUGCAUAGCCGACCUGAGAGGGUGAUCGGCCACAUUGGGACUGAGACACGGCCCAAACUCCUACGGGAGGCAGCAGUAGGGAAUCUUCGGCAAUGGACGAAAGUCUGACCGAGCAACGCCGCGUGAGUGAAGAAGGUUUUCGGAUCGUAAAACUCUGUUGUUAGAGAAGAAUAAGGAUGAGAGUAACUGUUCAUCCCUUGACGGUAUCUAACCAGAAAGCCACGGCUAACUACGUGCCAGCAGCCGCGGUAAUACGUAGGUGGCAAGCGUUGUCCGGAUUUAUUGGGCGUAAAGCGAGCGCAGGCGGUUUCUUAAGUCUGAUGUGAAAGCCCCCGGCUCAACCGGGGAGGGUCAUUGGAAACUGGGAGACUUGAGUGCAGAAGAGGAGAGUGGAAUUCCAUGUGUAGCGGUGAAAUGCGUAGAUAUAUGGAGGAACACCAGUGGCGAAGGCGGCUCUCUGGUCUGUAACUGACGCUGAGGCUCGAAAGCGUGGGGAGCAAACAGGAUUAGAUACCCUGGUAGUCCACGCCGUAAACGAUGAGUGCUAAGUGUUGGAGGGUUUCCGCCCUUCAGUGCUGCAGCUAACGCAUUAAGCACUCCGCCUGGGGAGUACGACCGCAAGGUUG